GGUUAAGCGACUAAGCGUACACGGUGGAUGCCCUGGCAGUCAGAGGCGAUGAAGGGCGUGCUAAUCUGCGAUAAGCGCCGGUAAGGUGAUAUGAACCGUUAUAACCGGCGAUACCCGAAUGGGGAAACCCAGUGUGAUUCGUCACACUAUCAUUAACUGAAUCCAUAGGUUAAUGAGGCGAACCGGGGGAACUGAAACAUCUAAGUACCCCGAGGAAAAGAAAUCAACCGAGAUUCCCCCAGUAGCGGCGAGCGAACGGGGAGGAGCCCAGAGCCUGAAUCAGCAUGUGUGUUAGUGGAAGCGUCUGGAAAGGCGCGCGAUACAGGGUGACAGCCCCGUACACAAAAGCGCAUGUGCUGUGAGCUCGAUGAGUAGGGCGGGACACGUGAUAUCCUGUCUGAAUAUGGGGGGACCAUCCUCCAAGGCUAAAUACUCCUGACUGACCGAUAGUGAACCAGUACCGUGAGGGAAAGGCGAAAAGAACCCCGGCGAGGGGAGUGAAAAAGAACCUGAAACCGUGUACGUACAAGCAGUGGGAGCACCCUUUGGGGUGUGACUGCGUACCUUUUGUAUAAUGGGUCAGCGACUUAUAUUCUGUAGCAAGGUUAACCGAAUAGGGGAGCCGUAGGGAAACCGAGUCUUAACCGGGCGUUAAGUUGCAGGGUAUAGACCCGAAACCCGGUGAUCUAGCCAUGGGCAGGUUGAAGGUUGGGUAACACUAACUGGAGGACCGAACCGACUAAUGUUGAAAAAUUAGCGGAUGACCUGUGGCUGGGGGUGAAAGGCCAAUCAAACCGGGAGAUAGCUGGUUCUCCCCGAAAGCUAUUUAGGUAGCGCCUCGUGAAUUCAUCUCCGGGGGUAGAGCACUGUUUCGGCUAGGGGGCCAUCCCGGCUUACCAACCCGAUGCAAACUGCGAAUACCGGAGAAUGUUAUCACGGGAGACACACGGCGGGUGCUAACGUCCGUCGUGAAGAGGGAAACAACCCAGACCGCCAGCUAAGGUCCCAAAGUCAUGGUUAAGUGGGAAACGAUGUGGGAAGGCCCAGACAGCCAGGAUGUUGGCUUAGAAGCAGCCAUCAUUUAAAGAAAGCGUAAUAGCUCACUGGUCGAGUCGGCCUGCGCGGAAGAUGUAACGGGGCUAAACCAUG
Molecule: ribosomal RNA, 1149 nt
Filed under: Salmonella enterica
Lineage: Bacteria; Pseudomonadati; Pseudomonadota; Gammaproteobacteria; Enterobacterales; Enterobacteriaceae
Description: partial 23S ribosomal RNA
Rfam family: Bacterial large subunit ribosomal RNA
Source: RNAcentral